Molecule: ribosomal RNA, 400 nt
Filed under: Metanephrops boschmai (bight lobster)
Lineage: Eukaryota; Metazoa; Arthropoda; Malacostraca; Decapoda; Nephropidae
Description: partial 12S ribosomal RNA
Source: RNAcentral
UGGAAGAAAAAAGUAAAUAAGAACUUGAAUAUUAAUAGAUACGUUCUUUAAAAUCAAAGAAUUUGGCGGUAUUUUAGUCUUGUUAGAGGAACCUGUUCUGUAAUCGAUAAAACACGUAAGAUUUUAUUUGCUUUUGUUAUUCAGUUUGUAUACCGUCAUUAUUAAAUAAUCUUGAAAAAGUUAAUUAUUGGGGUUAGGGGUUAAAAGCUAAGUAUAUUAGAUCAAGGUGCAGCUUAUGGGCAAGUAGAAAUGGGUUACAAUAAAAUAUAUUUAAACGAAUUGUAGGAAGAAUUAUUUACAAAGAAGGUGGAUGUAAUUGUAAGAAUAAUUUAAUAAGUUAUUUUGAUAUAAGCUCUAAAUUAUGUACAUAUCGCCCGUCGCUUUCAUUUAAAAUGAAAUA